RNAcentral lists this ribosomal RNA (497 nucleotides) under uncultured bacterium. RNAcentral describes it as "partial 16S ribosomal RNA". It matches the Rfam family "Bacterial small subunit ribosomal RNA", at positions 28 to 507 of the family's 1533-position model. The record is from RNAcentral.
GAUGAACGCUGGCGGCGUGCCUAAUACAUGCAAGUCGAGCGAACAGACGAGGAGCUUGCUCCUCUGACGUUAGCGGCGGACGGGUGAGUAACACGUGGAUAACCUACCUAUAAGACUGGGAUAACUUCGGGAAACCGGAGCUAAUACCGGAUAAUAUAUUGAACCGCAUGGUUCAAUAGUGAAAGACGGUUUUGCUGUCACUUAUAGAUGGAUCCGCGCCGCAUUAGCUAGUUGGUAAGGUAACGGCUUACCAAGGCAACGAUGCGUAGCCGACCUGAGAGGGUGAUCGGCCACACUGGAACUGAGAAACGGUCCAGACUCCUACGGGAGGCAGCAGUAGGGAAUCUUCCGCAAAGGGCGAAAGCCUGACGGAGCAACGCCGCGUGAGGGAUGAAGGUCUUCGGAGCGGAAAACUCUGUUAGUAGGGAAGAAAAAAUGUGUAAGUAACUAUGCACGUCUUGACGGUACCUAAUCAGAAAGCCACGGCUAACUACGUG